This 8879-nucleotide long non-coding RNA is filed under the name Coffea arabica (coffee). Its description in RNAcentral is "long non-coding RNA (CARA_LNC000230)". Lineage: Eukaryota; Viridiplantae; Streptophyta; Magnoliopsida; Gentianales; Rubiaceae. The record is from RNAcentral.
UACAUUUGGAAAAACUUGAUUUGUUCUUGUUAGCAAAUCUGCAAAAUUUUCCUAAAUUGAUAGGUAGAAGAGAGGAUUGCAGUCAGCAGUGGAAAGGAGAGAGAGCACAUAAUGGAUUUGCUAGCAAGGAGUAAGUAGAGUCAGUGAAGGACAAAGGGGGAGAGGGAGAAAGUGAAAAGAAAUGAUUGAAUAAAUAAUUCUCCUAGAAGGUCACAAAUCAAAUUUGGGAACUGAGCAAAACCCUCCAGUUUGUUAGGGAUCAAGAAUUCCUGGUUUUUGGGGUUCAUCCCAAAAUUUUUGAAGCCCAUAGUUGUUAUCUGUAACGGAUUUAUUUCACUUCCUGAUUCCAAUUUCUCUUAGAUAAAUACUAAGAUCCAAAACCAACAAAUCAAUUAAGCCAUGAACAAUCUUGAACCCAAAAAAAAGAAAAAAACACACAGACAAUGCUAGAAGUAACUUAUAAGACCUAAAACACAGCACCACAACCACUUCCAGUGACUUGAUAUGCACAAAGAAAGUGUGGCCUAUCAGCUUUAUUACCAGGAUCGAUGAAUGAUUUCAGAGGGCACACCUUAACCUGAGGAGAUUUGUUGAUAAAAGUAUCUAAUUUACUCAAUGACCAUUUCCACAAGGGCGGGCAAAUCCUUGAUAAAUAGUUUGCCUUCAUAUUUUCUUUAGAAGGUUAGGCAAUAAGCAAAUCACAUGGUUGGAAAUUCUUGAUGACUUGGAUGCAAUCCAUGGGCUUUAAUUUGACACCUUUUCAAUUUCCAAUUGUAUCUCAACUGUCCUAACUGGCAUAUUGCUUGCUUUUCUCAUGUUUAUUUUUAGGUCACAAUCAUGGAGACAGGAAACCCCAUCUCUAAUUCUUCUGUUAAUAGUAAUGGAGGCUUUCAGUAAACAGCAGCAACUAACAUUGCAGACAACUAUUACAAAAAAGAUUCUAAGCUAGAAGAAUUACAAGUAAACACUGAAAGUUUCAGAUGAAUUUUCCAGUGACACUCAAUCUCUCGUCAGGCAGAUUAAAAGCAGUUUAUUGCCUUGAAAAUUUCGUUUUAUUUCAUGGUUCCAAGUGUUCAAAGAGUAGGGUAAACAAAGAAAUUUGAUCUCUGGAUGAGAGGUUCAUUGCAUAUGGAGAUUUAACACUAAGUUUGGGUUGGGACAUUGGGCCAAAUGUAACAAAGUAUUACGGGGUACAUUCGUGGUAAAUUUCAUUUUCUGGAAGCUGGAACAGAUGAUAGUUACCUAAACAAAGAAACUUACUCCCAGAUUUAUUAGGGAGGAAGAGACAAUAUUUGGCUUUUCUUUUGUGUGUGGGGGGGAAUACACCUUUUAAAAACUUUCGGCCUUCAUAAUGUAAAUACCCCUUAUUUUCAGAGAAAAGAAUUUCUUAUGGGUGGCAUUGCAAGUGGAAGGACAUUUCUGAUAAGUUGGAAGUAUGUCAGGCCAAUUAUAGGGCAGAUUAAUCAUUCUUGUUCUGAGAGUUGCAACUGAUGCUUGGUUACAAAAAGUUACCAAACAAAAUGCUACAUGGAGAAGCCCAACGGCCUGAAAGUUUAAGUUUUAAGAUGAAAACUGCUAUGAAAUGCUCCUUUACAAAAGAAUCGGAGAUUGACAGGAAUCAAGAAUUUCCAAACUUGUCUAUCUAAGAUAAAUCACUACUAUACAAAAAGCCUUUUCUUGGAAAUCAAGUAUGCCAAAGCACAUGAAUUCCAAACCUAUUCUUUAAAACUUUUAAUAGUUUGGGUGCUAUUGAUCAUGUUGCAGAAAUUGAGGCAAGAAUGACCUCUUGCAAAAAAAUAAACAACAGGAACUUACAAGACAAAAUGAAUCGUGUUCAGCAGCUAAUCUAGGACCUAAGGAACUUCAAUCUCAAAUUGCUAGCUCUCCGAGCUUCGUACUUUUAAUUUCAUCCAGUUGAGUAUUCUCAGCAUGAAAAAAAUCUCAGUCCAUAUGCAUUUUUUGUAGUAGCAUUGUAUUUCUCAAUUACAAUCAUGAAGAACAAUGCUAUUGUGUAUCUUUCCACAUGGAUGCAAACAUUCAACACCACAAAACAUUAGAUGGUAACUGUAAAACCUGACAAGUUCAACGCCAACUUUCUAGGUCUGAUCUUUCUUUUCCACAUUUUUUAUCCCUCAAGCUUGUCACCUCAAAAUUUAAGUGUCCAUCAUCACUCAACAGUCACAACCACAACAGCCUAUUUUCACUUUCUUGGUGCUGUAUUUCAGCUUCCAUUGCAGUUUAUAAAGUUGUCCUGAUUGGAGAGAAGGAAAUAGAGCUUUUGGGGGUGUACCAAGACAGUAUGAAUAUGAAAAUUAUACUGCCUUCACCCAAAACUGAAGGCCAUAGUUCGACUAAAGAGAAUAUGAAUAAAAAAAACUGAAUAACAUAAUAGCCCAAAGAGAGUGUGAACAGAAUACAGGAAUUCCAAUACAGAGUUAGCAAAAAACAUGUAGAUGAACCCUUUAAUCAUUUCUGUUAUACACAAAGAGUACAUCAAAUGAAGAAAUAUCAAAGAAAACAACAAUUCUUUUUGGGGAGGCCAAAACAAGAAAUCAGAAUUCGAAACACCAGGGAGUUUAUAAUUCUCCAUACUUUCUUGGAGUAGGCAAUCUUGUGAAUUCAUGGACGUAUAACAAAUAUACUUCCAAAACAGCCUACUUUUCUUGCAAAAAUGAUUGCAACCCAUAAUAGUGGUUCAGUUCUUAUAGGCUUGGUUUACAACCUGGCCAACUAUCAUAGUACUUCUAGGUGGAUAACUAAUCCAGUCAAACUAGGAUACCAGGUCCUGAUUUAAUAUGUAAGGGGAUCCAAUACUGUAUCUUCAUUACAGUUGCUCCAGCAUCAUUUCUUUCUCGUCGAGUCUCAGCCUGACGGCCUACUCAAGGGUUUCCCACCAAUAAUCAACUAAAUUUGGAAAACCAAAACUUCGCUAAAUUUCUAAGCAUUAGCACAUUUAUUCACCAAAAAUUAUUUAGCCCCUCAGACUAGAGGGUACGUUUGCUUAUCUGGGUUGAGGUCUCAGUUUUACCAUCUGCAUCAAAGUUUUGAAAGAGUUCAUAAGUGGCUAAAUCUGCCACCAACCAAUCAGUUAUAGAUCCUGCUGAAAGUAAGAAAAAAGAAAUCAGCAGGAAUGCUGGAAGCAAUAAGAGUGUUGGCUUACCAUAGGAUCAAAUAAUGUCCCAACAGUUGGUACAACAGAUACACCCAAGUUCUUCAUGAUUUCUACAAAUUGCUUGUAUAUGCCCUGAUAACUUGCAUCAAUUUUCUUUUCCUGCUCUGUCUCUAGUUUGAUAUGUUGCUUGGCUCGUUCAAAGUUAUCUACCAUAGGCAAGAGACUCUCAAUCACUUCUCCCUGGGCAUUACUCCUUAUUGUUAGCUUCUCAUUCUCUGUUCUCUUCCUGAAGUUGUCAAAAUCUGCUUGCAAACGAACAUACUUGUCCUUCUGAGCACCAAUUUCAUCUGACAAAACAGAAACCUUUUCUAACAACUCAUUCCUCUCCUUUUCUACCAUGUGUAUUAUCUCUUCAAAAUCGGAUAUACUUUUCUCAUCUCCAUUUAAAAUGGCCUCCUUAUAAGCUGAGAUAGUAGACUCCAAUCUUGAAGGAAGUUCUUGGUCCGCUUCCUCUUCUGUUUUACUGAGAGGAGUCUCAUCUUCAUCAUCAGUCUAUCAUGUAUCACAUUGAUAUUAUUAAGCAUGCAAUGGCAGCUAUAAAAGUACUCAAAAUUUCUACCAUUAUACAGAAAAUUUAUAUGGUUGAUGAAAAAUUACCAUUACUUGUUACCUUUGUAAAUGAACUGAACAUUGCAUGAGAUAAGAACCAAUAAUAGGUUCAAAACAGAGACACUGACAGAGGAAGCGAUCUCUAAACUUUGAAGUAUGAGACACACACUGUAAAGUAUACAGACAUGGUACACUAACUCUCUCUCUCUCUCUCUCUCUCUGUUUUGAUUCAUUGGUGGUGGUGUAAGGGGAACUCAACUUAACCUCGUCCCGUUUUAAUAGUUUUUGAAAAAAGAGACAAACAAAACUUCAUUUUUCAGCAGCAGCCUUGAAGCCAGCAAGAAACACUAUGAAUGAAAUACUUACUUACAAUUCCUGUCAAUAAGUUGAUUUAGUAAUUUCUCUGAAAGCAGACACCUUAAAGCAAAAUUGAUGAAAGAAAAGAUGUAUCUGUUCACUGUAUUUUGACCAAAUUCCAGCAGAUUUGCACAAUUUUUUAGAAUAAAAAAUCAACUAAAAUAACAACAUCUUUGUUCAUGUUUACAUAUCUAUACUUGAAAUUCAGCUUGUAAUUCCCCAAAAUCAAGCCUGCUUACCAAUAACCAAUAUCAAAAUUUAAUAAAUGAAUCUAAGAUACAUAAAGAAUCAAAAUUGGCUUCGACUAAACACACCAAGCCAAGAAAGAACAUCAGCCACAACUUCCAUCACGAGUUAAAAGCAACUAAACAAAAAAAAAAUUACUUCGGAAGCGGAGUCUUCGGAUUGUGACUGAGAAGCUUUAAGAAAUCGGCAUCUCCUGCUGCUGUUGUUAUUGAUUACCGGAAUGUUUGCAUUUUUGGGCAAACAAAAACAAAAGCCUCUGGAGGAAAUGGGUUUCAAGGGAAAAUGGGUUUGGAAAUAAUUUGAAGAAGAUGAAGGAAGGGAUGGGCGAUGAGGAGAAGCAUAUGAACAAAGAUAAGCUGUUGAAGCUGAAGCUGUUGGUGCCGCCGCCAUAGAAGUUUCUAGUAUUAUCACUGAAGAUUGAAAGGGAGGAGUCUGGUAAUUUCACACCAAGCGGAGGAAGAAGAAGGUGGAGUUGGUGUAGGGGUUUUGGGAUAAGAGAAAACGAUGUCGUUAAGUCAGAAAGCCGAAAACGACAAAAAAGAAUAAAAUAAAAACAAAAGGCCCAACUUAGCCUUAUUCUAGAUACAUCUUCACGCGUGUGCUGCAUUUUCUGGUCUCUCACUAGCGCCAAAACAGCUGCAUUUGAGUUGAGUUCAACAGUUGACAACUCGAAUUUUAACUAAAAUAUCGCUGAGUUUUUAGAAACCGAAUCGUGCUAGCUCGAUUUUAGUUUAACUUUUCUUUUUUGCCGUAACUGCACGUUUAACAUAACCUAACCUACUCUUACUUCUACCAGGGGAACCUACUCUAUAAGAUGGCUUAAUUGAGUCAGAAAACCUGACGAGAACUGAACAAUCAUUAAACUAAACGGAUGCACCACACACUCAAUGGAUUUUGAACUCUUAACCUCCCACCCCACAAUAAAUGCGAUGACCAAUUCCUCUUGAGGGAGUUUUAGUUUAACUUGAGUUCAUAAAAAUUCGAGAUCGAGCUAGAUCGAUUUUAGUUUUACUUGAGUUUGAACUUAAGUUAAUUGAGUUUGAUGAAAUCUAAUCAAGUUUAAUGGAGUCUAUUCAAUCUAAUCAAAUUCACCUAAUAAAAUGAUAUUUCGAUAUUUCGCUUGUAUUAUAAACACAUUUUUUAAUUUACUUUUUUCUAUUUUCAACCAUUUUUUUUAUCUCACGUACAUCAUAUCACAAAAAAUGUUACAGUAAUUAUUUCAAAUAAUACUCUAUCUUACAUAUAAUUUUAAACAAAGAAUAUAAUCGAUAUUUUACAAUAAUAAACAUAAAAAAUAAAAAUAAUAUAUAUGUGUGUGUAUGUGGGUGCAUGUGUGUGUGUGUCGGUUAGAUUUGUCAAGCUUACAAGUUUAGAAAUAUAAUACUCAAGCACGAUUUUUAAGUAUUUUGAAGUUGUUUAAACUUGACUCGAGUUUAGUCAAUGUCUAACUCAAGCCGGAUAGUUGAGUUAGUUACUCGCGAAUUUGAGUCUAAUAGCUUGAUCAACUCGCAGUCCUAGUUUACUGAACGACUACUUGACCCGUGAAAGGGAAAAGUGACCCGACCGGUAGUAUUGAUUGAACACAAAUUUGAACUGUAUCCAUCCGUAGUUAUAAAUCAAUAUGGGUGGGUAAGGGUCAAGUAUGCGCUCCAUGCAUCACUUGACCGAUGUCAGGAUAUGAAAUUGUUGAAUUGAGAUUAAUUGGGUAUAUUUCAAUUAAAGGUCAAAACGAUGUCGUUUGGGUUAGUAGUUAGUUAAAGUAGUUACUUAGCAAUUGCAGGUUGUUAAGUUUGUUAUAAGUAGAGGACCCACGCAUGAGAGAUACAGACUUUGUUUUUGGUAAUCAGAUGUAUUUCAAUUCCUCUUUCUAAAUUCUAUUUCUUCCCCAUUCUCUCUGAUUCUCUCCCUCUCUGCAAUCUUCAGCUCAUUUCCCAACUUAAUCCCCAAUCGUAACUCAGAUAUAAACAAUUGCACUUAAGUUCCUGACAAAUUGGUAUCAGAGCAAGAGAUCCUUGGAAAUUACCAUUAGCAAUGGCAGAAGGCACUAGAUUCCGGUCAUUGGAGGAGCAAGUUAAGAAACAAGAAAUCAAGCUGCAGGAAUUGGUAGAAUCUCUCCAUACAUCACAGUCGGAGCAGCAGCAAAUUAAAAAGGAAUUGAAACAGGAACUGGAGGAGAGUAGCAAACGGAUGGAAGGCCUAUUAUUAGGUAUGGAGCAGAAUUUUCUCAAAAUUUUGGAGCAAAAGCUGAACAAUCUUCUGCUAAGGACUCCUAUGAAGGAGAAGACUACUGAAGGGGAUGGAAGAUUGCCAGUAGAUCAGACGCCACUGUUACCAACUCCACCAGCUCACUGCAGGAUACAACCUGAAGGCGAAGCUCAGAAACUCUUCAAGAAGGACUGGAGUAAGUUUCAGAUUCCAAAUCCUCCUAAAAUUGAUUUACAGCUAUUUUCUGGAGAACAUCCUAGGGUUUGGCUGAGGAAAUGUAAUAAAUACUUUUUGAAUUAUCAAGUUCCACACGAGCAUAAAAUUGAAAUCAUUGAAAUGUAUCUGGAUGGCAAGGCUGACAAAUGGUUCCAAGGUGUAAAAAUUGAAAAGCCUAGAUUAGGAUGGGAGGAAUUUGAAGAUAUGUUAUGUAGGAGGUUUAAUGAUAGAUCGUGUAAGGAUAUAGUGGAAGAAUUCAAUAAACUGCAACAAGUAGGCAGUAUCGAGGACUAUCAGGAGAGAUUUGAGGAGCUGAAGCCUUUGAUGAUGAUCAAAAAUAGAAACCUGGAUGAAAACUAUUUUAUUUCCAGUUUCAUAAGUGGACUUAAGGAAGAAAUUAAGCCUGUGGUCAGGAUGCUGAAACCUGCCACACUAUCUGAAGCCUUCGAGCUAUCUCAAUGGCAAGAGCAAGUCAUAAGAAUCCAGAAUAAAAGCUCCAAGGAAAACACCAGGCCAAUGGGAGAAAACAAAUUUGGCAUAACCAGAAGUGCUAACACUUCUGUUGGAACAAAUUCUUACAAGGUCCCUGCCACUAGCAAUUUUAAGCACACUAAGUUUAGGAGUUCACCAGGGGAUACUAAGGAACCAGCAAAGUUGUCUGCUCAGGAGUUGCAGUAUAGGAGGAGUAAUGGAUUGUGUUUCAGGUGCGGAGAGAAGUAUGGAAUGGGACAUCAGUGUAGAGUGGGUCACUCAAAUUGUAUGACACUGGAAGAGGAGGAGGAUUCUGCAUUUGAGGAUGCCCUUGGAGAACAAGAUGAACAGACUGGGAAUCCUGGACAGGCCAUGGAAGUGUCACUGCAUGCUUUAUCUGAGGCUCUUAAGAGAAAAACUAUUACACUCUCUGGAAUCUUAGAUGGGGAGGAAGUACUGAUAUUGGUGGACACUGGGAGCUCAGACAGCUACAUUAGCAGUGAGCUUGUAAUUGGGAUGGACAUAGGCUAUCAGUGGGUGGAUCAACCAUUCUCUGUCAUAAUGGGGAAUGGAUCAUGUGUCACCAGCAAUGCAAUAUGCAAUGGGGUGCAGUGGAGGAUUAAUCAACACAACUUCAGGUAUAACCUCAAGGUAAUGGAACUGGGAGGUUGGGACAUAAUCCUAGGAGUGGACUGGAUGACACACUUCAGUCCCAUCACAUUCGACUUCCAACAACUCAGGAUAUCCCUGCACCAUGAAGGAGAUGAAAUCCAUCUACAUGGCCAAGCCGAUAACUGUGACAUGGAUUUGAUCAGGGGCAAGGACUUAAGAACAUUUAUAGAAUACAAGAAACAGAUGUGUAUGGCUAUGUGUGGCCAAUAGGAAAAAGACAGACAAGGGAAGUCAGAAACCACACCUCAAGAGGUAGAGGCCCUGCUACAGGACUAUAAGGAUGUCUUCCAGACUCCUAGCUCAUUACCCCCAAGUAGGAGCGUAGACCAUGAGAUUCCUCUCAAACAGGAGGCUCAGCCAUUCAAACUUAAGCCUUACAGAUAUCCUCACUGUCACAAGGAGGAGAUAGAGAGACAGGUUACUGAAAUGCUGCAGAAAGGUAUUGUGAAACACAGUAACAGCCCCUUUGCCUCCCCUGUACUACUAGUCAAGAAGAAGGAAGGCACCUGGAGGUUUUGUGUGGACUACAGGAAGCUGAAUGAGAUCACUAUUAAAGACAGAUUUCCAAUACCCAAUGUAGAUGAACUGUUGGAUGAGUUAUCAGGAGCUGUGUUCAAAACCAAGUUAGCAAUGGAGGCUUUCAGUAAACAGCAGCAACUAACAUUGCAGACAACUAUUACAAAAAAGAUUCUAAGCUAGAAGAAUUACAUGUAAACACUGAAAGUUUCAGAUGAAUUUUCCAGUGACACUCAAUCUCUCGUCAAGCUGAUUAAAAGCAGUAUUAUUGCCUUGAAAAUUUCGUUUUAUUUCAUGGUUCCAAGUGUUCAAAGAGUAGCGUAAGCAAAGAAAUUUGAUCUCUGGAUGAGAGGUUCAUUGCAUAUGGAGAUUUAACACUAAGUUUGGGUUGGGACAUUGGGCCAAAUGUAACAAAGUAUUACGGGGUACAUUCGUGGUAAAUUUCAUUUUCUGGAAGCUGGAACAGAUGAUAGUU